RNAcentral lists this microRNA precursor (66 nucleotides) under Pelobates cultripes (western spadefoot toad). Lineage: Eukaryota; Metazoa; Chordata; Amphibia; Anura; Pelobatidae. The record is from RNAcentral.
ACCUGGUCCUUGGGAGCCAAACCUGUGGUCUGUCCCUCUUCACAGAUUUGGCUCCCAGGGACCAGG